RNAcentral lists this long non-coding RNA (290 nucleotides) under Homo sapiens (human). RNAcentral describes it as "HSALNT0006338". Lineage: Eukaryota; Metazoa; Chordata; Mammalia; Primates; Hominidae. The record is from RNAcentral.
CCACACCUGGCUAAUUUUUUGUAUUUUUAGUAGAGACAGGGCUUCUCUGUGUUAGCCAGGAUGGUCUCGAUCUCCUGAUGUCGUGAUCCACCCACCUCAGCCUCCCAAAGUGCUGGGAUUACAGGCAUGAGCCACUGCACCUGGCCAGCUUUGUUCUUUUUGCUUGGGAUUGUCUUGGCAAUGUAGGCUCUUUUUUGGUUCCAUAUGAAAUUUAAAGUAGUUCUUUCCAAUUCUGUGAAGAAAGUAAUUUAUAGAUUCAAUGCCAUCCCCAUCAAGCUACCAAUGACUUU